GAUGAACGCUGGCGGUAUGCUUAACACAUGCAAGUCGAACGGACUCUUCGGAGUUAGUGGCGGACGGGUGAGUAACGCGUGAGAAUCUGGCUUUGGGUUCGGGACAACCACUGGAAACGGUGGCUAAUACCGGAUGUGCCGAGAGGUAAAAGAGAAAUUGCCUGAAGAUGAGCUCGCGUCUGAUUAGCUAGUUGGUGAGGUAAAGGCUCACCAAGGCAGCGAUCAGUAGCGGGUCUGAGAGGAUGACCAGCCACACUGGGACUGAGACACGGCCCAGACUCCUCGGGGGGGAAGAAGGGGGGAUUUUCCCGAAAGGGGCAAAGGCGGGACGGAGAAAUCCGGGGGGGGGAAAAAGGGCUCUGGGGUUGAAACCCUUUUCCCUGAGGAAAAAAAAAAAGGAGGGAACCUAAGAAAGCAGAACCGGCAAACCCCGUC
Molecule: ribosomal RNA, 435 nt
Filed under: uncultured bacterium
Lineage: Bacteria
Description: partial 16S ribosomal RNA
Rfam family: Bacterial small subunit ribosomal RNA
Source: RNAcentral